Molecule: long non-coding RNA, 725 nt
Organism: Alnus glutinosa
Lineage: Eukaryota; Viridiplantae; Streptophyta; Magnoliopsida; Fagales; Betulaceae
Exons: 3
Source: RefSeq, a predicted model, not a curated record
GGUACAAAGAGCUUUGCGAGGAUUGCACAUGAUGAUGAAAGGGUAGAGGAGCUCAUACCAACCCACCCUGCUGCAUUCUCGAGCAUCACUCAAAGUUCGGUGCUCUGGACACCGAACGACGCGUAUGACUUGGUGCAUGUCAAUAAGCCCGAGUAUGUUGGCAGGGUUUUACAAGUUGGGCCAAAUGUUCUGCCUGUGCUAUUCAUUCAUAUCAUACACCCUCGUAGGCACGAUCACAGAGUUCGAGGCAAGGCACUUACUCACAAGAAUAUUUCGAGCAGGCAAUCGAGAGAGUAAUAAUGACUAAGCAGGCCAAAUGGGAGGCCUGUUUUAGAGCCUUUGAGUCACGUGUCAAUGCUAAGAUUUCCGAGCCCGCUGUCACUCAAUAGACAGCAGUGCAUGACAGAGCUUUUGAACCAGGUAGUGCAAAGCAUGUUGUGAAUACGCCCGAUGAAGAUCUUGGUCACGACCUCAAUUAACCAACUAGGUAAUAUUAUAUUUUUAUUAUCAUCUUUGUACAGUAUAUUAUUCGAAUUGUUGAUGUAUUGUUGGAAAUCUAAAUUGUCUAUGUCAACCACCAAUAAAAUCAUGAGGCUAAGUUGCGAGUAAAUGUGUAAUCGUCUUUUAUAUGUAUGAAGUAAGUGUCACAAGGGGGAGUGCCCCAUAAAGGUACUUACUCCCAUAAAGCAGUUGAGACUGUUGGUUCUAUAAUGCAACGUGUUCAU